AUUGAACGCUGGCGGCAGGCCUAACACAUGCAAGUCGAGCGAGCGGCGGACGGGUGAGUAAUGUCUGGGAAACUGCCUGAUGGAGGGGGGGAACUACUGGAAACGGUAGCUAAUACCGCAUACCAUCAGAUGUGCCCAGAUGGGAUUCGCUAGUAGGGCGGGUAACGGAUCACCUAGGCGACGAUCCCUCGCUGGUUUGAGAGGAUGACCAGCCACACUGGAACUGAGACACGGUCAAGACUCCUCCGUGAGACAGCAGGGGGGAAUAUUGCACAAUGGGCUCAAGCCUGAUGCAGCCAUGCCGAGUAUGUGAAGAAGGCCUUCGGGUUGUAAAGCACUUUCAGCGGGGAGGCGUUACCCGCAGAAGAAGCACCGGCUAACUCCGUGCCAGCAGCCGCGGUAAUAC
RNAcentral lists this ribosomal RNA (406 nucleotides) under uncultured bacterium. Its description in RNAcentral is "partial 16S ribosomal RNA". It matches the Rfam family "Bacterial small subunit ribosomal RNA", at positions 30 to 526 of the family's 1533-position model. The record is from RNAcentral.